Dreissena polymorpha is the source of this 6660-nucleotide long non-coding RNA. RefSeq lists it as uncharacterized. Lineage: Eukaryota; Metazoa; Mollusca; Bivalvia; Myida; Dreissenidae. The transcript is spliced from 9 exons. The record is from RefSeq and is a predicted model, not a curated record.
CCUAGUGGGAUGCUUCUGCUGUUGAUAGUUUAGACGACAGUAGGGUUACGGACUGCCCCAGAUUGUCCAUUCAGCGGCCAAAAUAUCAUAAUAGAACGGACUUUUGGCAAUAUUACCGACAAAGAAAGGCAGUAAUGACUUGGUUGUGAAUACCCAGAGCACGAUACAUCCAUGCUGACACAAAAAGGCAGUAAUGACUUAGUGGUGAAAACCUAGAGCACGCUACAUCCUUGCUGACAAAGAAAUGCAGUAAUGACUUGGUUGUGAAUACCCAGAGCAUGCUACAUCCAUGCUGACACAGAAAGGCAGUAAUGACUAUGCUGUGAACACCCAGAGCAUGCUACAUCCAUGCUUACACAGAAAGGCAGUAAUGACUAUGCUGUGAACACCCAGAGCAUGCUACAUCCAUGCGGAAACAGAAAGGCAGUCACGACUAUGCUGUGAACACCCAGAGCACAAUAUAUCCAUGCUGACACAGAAAGGCAGUAAUGACUAUGCAGUGAACACCCAGAGCAAGAUAUAUCCAUGCUGACACAGAAAAGCAGUAAUGACUAUGCUGUGAACACCCAGAGCACAAUACAUCAUUUGCUGACACAGAAAGGCAGUAAUGACUUGGCUCUGAACACAGAGCACAAUACAUCCAUGCUGACACAGAAAGGCAGUAAUGACUUGGCUGUGAACACAGAGCAACAUACAUCCGUGCUGACACAGAAAGGCAGUAAUGACUUGGCUGUGAACACAGAGCUUAAUAUAUCCAUGCUGACACAGAAAGGCAGUAAUGACUUGACUGUGAACACAGAGCACAAUACAUCCAUGCUGACACAGAAAGGCAAUUAUGACUUGGUUGUGAACACAGAGCACAAUACAUCCUUGUUGACACAGAAAAGCAGUAAUGACUUUGCUGUGAACUCAGAGUACGAUACAUCAAUGCUGACACAGAAAGGCAGUAAUGACUUGGAUGUAAACACCCAGAGCACAAUACAUCCAUACUGACACAGAAAGACAGUAAAGACUUGGUUGUAAACACCCAGAGCACAAUACAUCCAUGAUGACACAGAAAGGCAGUAAAGACCUUGUUGUAAACACUAAGAGAUCCAUACAUACAUGGGGUGUGCCACAGCCGCAAAUUACGCCAACUAUUGUGAACAAGGUGCUCAAAGUGAACAUGUCUGGGUUUGGUAUGAGGACUUAGCACUCCAAGCCCAGAAGGCCUCGCAUUGAAUUGAUGCAAGAGAAGGCUUUGAAAAAUAUUAGCAGUUUUGUUGUGUGGUCCAGUACGCCCUUCGACUCUCAACCUGAAGAAAGCAGAACUCAAACUCGGCUCUUAGCAAUAUCAAUAAGGCCAGCAUGUCAUCUCCGCUUCUUGAGCUUCAGUGAACUUUACUAGCAAACAUGACAAACGUCAUUGAAAUGAAAGUCGAUGACAACCCCCUUCUUGCACAAAUACUACAACUUGCUGAAGAAAAUCAGCAUGAAGACGUCUUGCGUCAGACUACCAAGCCUCCUAUCAAUAUAUCCUCCCAUGUUGGCUACAUCAACACUUCCAACAGCAGAGCCUUGCUGAAUAAAAGGCUCUCUGGUCAGCUGGACCUGGACGCCAAGGGACACUUCCUGCCCAAGUACCGUGAGGCAAAUGCUCAAUGAGUUCUACCCGAAGUGUGCAGCGUCUCUAGACCUGUGGCUCCAGACUGUCUUACCCAGGGGCCAAGAUUACUUUAUCUGCAAGAGGCCUUAUACUCGCAGGUUCCCCAAAUACAACUCAGCCACAACAUCCUAAUCGGACAACUUGUCAAUCAACAUGGAACAGUACCCAGAAAAUCACGACCAGCUCAUGAACUGUGUAACUGCGCCAAGCGUGACCCUUCAGAGAAAGGGGCUUCCAUGCCGAAGGUCAAAUUGUGGCCGUUGUUCAGUGUCAAGCGAAAUCCUAGCAACCAAGCCACGUCAGCACAGCAGCAAAAACAGUUUCAGCAGCAGUCGUAUACUAAACAUCAACAACAGUGGUGCAUAUGCAUUAAACUACGAGAGUAAACAAGUUGACUGCGUAAUGUGGCAUCAAAGUCUGCAAGGAGAAACCAUGCAAUUGAGGAAGCCAAGAAACCAUGUGAUAAUUUCAAGCAGCUUACCUACUCUUGAAACCCGGAUAGCGAAGCAUUGAGAUUGUUCUGGAAGCAUUUGUAGUCACAGCUCAUUAAGCAUCCCCCUGAAGCAGGACCCUCAGUCUACGGACGCCAAUUGACGAAAUAAAACUUGUCAUUCAGCAACACAGCCAGUUGCAGCAGUUGUUACCAAAUUGACCCCAGUCAAAACUAGGAGCUCAGAGACAAUCAGCAACACAGCCAGUUGCAGCAGUUGUUACCGUAUGGACCCUAGUCAAAACUAGGAGCUCAGAGAUAACACAGCCAGUUGCAGCAGUUGUUACCAUAUUGACCCCAGUCAAAACUAGGAGCUCAGAGACAAUCAGCAACACAGCCAUUUGCAGCAGUUGUUACCAUAUUGACCCCAGUCAAAACUAAGAGCUCAGAGACAAUCAGCAACACAGCCAGUUGCAGCAGUUGUUACCGUAUGACCCCAGUCAAAACUAGGAGCUCAGAGACAAUCAGCAACACAGCCAGUUGCAGCAGUUGUUACCAAAUUGACCCCAGUCAAAACUAGGAGCUCAGAGACAAUCAGCAACACAGCCAGUUGCAGCAGUUGUUUCCGUAUGACCCCAGUCAAAACUAGGAGCUCAGAGAUAACACAGCCAGUUGCAGCAGUUGUUACCGUAUGGACCCCAGUCAAAACAAGGAGCUCAGAGAUAAAUACUGUUUAAGAUAGAUAUUCUCUACAUUCCUCAUGGUCAGCCAACACAGCCAGUUGCAGCAGUUGUUACCAUAUUGACCCCAGUCAAAACUAGGAGCUCAGAGACAAUCAGCAACACAGCCAGUUGCAGCAGUUGUUACAGUAUGACCCCAGUCAAAACUAAGAGCUCAGAGACAAUCAGCAACACAGCCAGUUGCAGCAGUUGUUACAGUAUGACCCCAGUCAAAACUAGGAGCUCAGAGAUAAAUACUGUUUAAGAUAGAUAUUCUCUACAUUCCUCAUGGUAAGGCAACACAGCCAGUUGCAGCAGUUGUUACCAUCUUGACCCCAGUCAAAACUAAGAGCUGAGAGACAAUCAGCAACACAGCCAGUUGCAGCAGUUGUUACCAUUUUGACCCCAGUCAAAACAAGGAGCUCAGAGACAAUCAGCAACACAGCCAUUUGCAGCAGUUGUUACCAUAUUGACCCCAGUCAAAACUAAGAGCUCAGAGACAAUCAGCAACACAGCCAGUUGCAGCAGUUGUUACCGUAUGACCCCAGUCAAAACUAGGAGCUCAGAGACAAUCAGCAACACAGCCAGUUGCAGCAGUUGUUACCAAAUUGACCCCAGUCAAAACUAGGAGCUCAGAGACAAUCAGCAACACAGCCAGUUGCAGCAGUUGUUUCCGUAUGACCCCAGUCAAAACUAGGAGCUCAGAGACAAUCAGCAACACAGCCAGUUGCAGCAGUUGUUACCAUAUUGACCCCAGUCAAAACUAGGAGAUCAGAGACAAUCAGGCAACACAGCCAGUUGCAGCAGUUGUUACCAUAUUGACCCCAGUCAAAACUAAGAGCUCAGAGACAAUCAGCAACACAGCCAGUUGCAGCAGUUGUUACCAUAUUGACCCCAGUCAAAACUAGGAGCUCAGAGACAAUCAGCAACACAGCCAGUUGCAGCAGUUGUUACCGUAUGACCCCAGUCAAAACUAAGAGCUCAGAGACAAUCAGCAACACAGCCAGUUGCAGCAGUUGUUACCAUAUUGACCCCAGUCAAAACUAAGAGCUCAGAGACAAUCAGCAACACAGCCAGUUGCAGCAGUUGUUACCAUAUUGACCCCAGUCAAAACUAGGAGCUCAGAGACAAUCAGCAACACAGCCAGUUGCAGCAGUUGUUACAGUAUGACCCCAGUCAAAGCUAAGAGCUCAGAGACAAUCAGCAACACAGCCAGUUGCAGCAGUUGUUACCGUAUGACCCCAGUCAAAACUAAGAGCUCAGAGACAAUCAGCAACACAGCCAGUUGCAGCAGUUGUUACCAUAUUGACCCCAGUCAAAACAAGGCGCUCAGAGAAAAUCAGCAACACAGCCAGUUGCAGCAGUUGUUACCAAAUUGACCCCAGUCAAAACUAGGAGCUCAGAGACAAUCAGCAACACAGCCAGUUGCAGCAGUUGUUACCGUAUGACCCCAGUCAAAACUAGGAGCUCAGAGAUAAAUACUGUUUAAGAUAGAUAUUCACCUGAUAAUGAUAAAUGCAUGAAAAUUAAAUUGUACUUAAGACAUUAUUUCAUACGUUGAGCUUAAGAAAAUUGAAAGCUGUUUAAAUUAUGCUGGUAACGUUAUAUACAAAAUAUGUAUUGGAUUAUAUUCAUGUAAAAAACAAGUUUCAGUUUUCUGUUGUUACAUGCAAUAUAGAAGUAUUAUCAAGAAUCGUGUUAAGUAUGGCACUAUUCGAAAUGAAUAUUCAUUAAAUAAAGACAAAAUCAUUUAAUCUUCUUUCAAUUGUCAAUUCUGUAUGUACUACUACUACCUUAUUUAUUUGACUUGAUAUGGUUUGUUAAAUUAAAAGAUAAUGCCUCUUUAUUUGGAAAGCUUUCAAUGUUUUGAAACUGAGUAUUUAAAAAUGAAUUAUUAAAAGAAUUAUGAAAAAUCAUGACUUAUGUCAAAGUUAUGUUUGAUUUUGCCAAUUUUGUGUUGAUAUUUAAUAUACAUGUACUUACAUGCUCAUAAGUGUUGACAUUUGUUUUGAACAUAAUAGUUUUUUUAUGUUUUAUAUCGUGUAUAUACACAUUUACAAGUCCAAAUUUUCAUCCUCUCAAUCACUCAGUAACUUUACCAACAAUAAAUGUUGGAUCUCUGUAUAUAGGUAAAUUGUGCAAUUGAUAUAUAGAGCAACUGCAACAAAUCAGUCAGUUACCAAUCAAGGAAGAGUGAUGUAAUAUGCUGGCAAUUGUUAAGUAGUGCAGUUGUCUCAUUUUGUUCUCAGGUUAGAGCAAUGUUGUUUGCUUCAAAAAUAAAAACACAGUCUCCCUUGUAAGAAAAUUAAUGUGUUCACAUCUCAACAUAACAAGUAAAUUCAUAGAGAAAAUCAAAUUAUUUACAUGAUAUACUCGACAAUUAGUCUAAUGGAAAAUUUGUAGAAUAAAAAAUAACAUGUAAUUAUGACGAUUAUAAGUGAAUGUUUGACACAAAAUGUCUCUUCAGAAAUGUGUUUAUUUUAAUGAUAAAUCUAUACAUUGUACUUGCUGUACUUUUUAUAGUAUAUUUUAUGAACGUGCAGCUGAUAAGUGAAUGUGACAAUUUACGAGUUAUGUUACAAUUUGUUACACAUUGACAUGGCCACAUAAGCUGUUAAUGGAGUGCAUUCACUGCGGCCAGUUUCCAGAAAUCUCCCAAUUAAAAAACACCAGAAAAUAUCUUAAGAUCAGAUAGUUUGGUUGUUCACAUUAGUUUUGAUUUAUUUAUUAAUUGUGUUAUGCCUUGUACUCUUAAUUUGUUAUCAAAUAUUUAAGUUUAUAUGACUUGAAGAGACUUACAUGUUUAUUUUAUUGAUGUGUUUGUGUUGAUUUCUUGCAUUCUGAUUAAAGAAUAUUCAAGUGGAAAAAUAAUAUUAUUAUGCAUUGAAAGUGUGUUGUGAUUUCAAAUAAAAAUACUAUGAAAAUAUAGUUCAGUCGUUUGAUUACAAAGUUAUUACAAAGGUGAUCAAUUGCUCAUCAAGUGUAGGUGUUUGCAUACGGACAUAAUAUGUCUGUGCUUUAUAUGUAUAUAAUGUAGAUCCCCAUUUACCAGAACAUACUUUGAUGUGCUUAAAUGUGCUAAUAGCCUGAUGAAAUUCGUGUUGACUAUGCGUUUUACAUUUUGCCAUUUUUAUUUAAAAAAUGAAAAACAAAUGAAUUGUCAGUGUAAAUAAAUACUGUAUUGUUGUUCAAUCAGUUAAACUAUUUCACUGUUUUCAUGCAUAUGUUCAAAUCAUUUUCAUUUUUGUUCAAUUUUUAAGAUGCAACGCUUGUGUAAUUUACUUUAUGAAACUUAUAUAUACACAAAAAUGUAGUACAGAUGUAUAUCAAAUGACUGCUGUGGGCUUGUGGUAAACAGAAAACCAUGCUUUAAAUUGAAAAACCUUGUUAUAUGCCAUGUUUUUCAUUUAAUAAUAUUAAAAGCACUCUUGAAAUUGAACUUCUUGAAAAUAUGUUUCAUUGUUUUGUGAAAAUAUCUUAAGUUAUCUAUUCUAAAUUAUCUAUUCUUAUAUAAGAAAUACAAAUUAAAAUUGGUUAUUGGAAAUAAGUCAAUUAAAAGUCAAGGGAUAAUGAUGUAAUGUACUUAAAAAUGUCAAAACUGCUAUUGUCUCUAUUUGUAUUCUAGAUAUGUUAUAUCCUUAAACAAACAAAUACAAUGUUGUCUCCUUGUUGAAUAGGUGUUGUGUACCUCUGAACAUGUCAAGUCAUUUACUUUAAGUAUUUUAAAUUAGUUCUCACUAUCUGCACCCGUAAGUCACUCAUGAAUUUUGUGUAAUAAACAUUGGAUAAAUAUAUUUUUAUAUAAUCGAUUAUAAGAUAAGGUAAAAAGUGUAUGUGCGUUAUAAGUAAUAAACAUUGGAUAAAUA